GCGGAAGGAUCAUUAUCGUUGGGCUUCGGCCCAUUCGAGAUAACACCCUUGCCUUUUUGAGUACCUUUUCGUUUCCUCGGCAGGCUCGCCUGCCAACGGGGACCCUUCAAAACGCUUUGUAAUACCUGUAACUGUCUGAUAUAACAAGCAAAAAUCAAAACUUUCAACAACGGAUCUCUUGGUUCUGGCAUCGAUGAAGAACGCAGCGAAAUGCGAUAAGUAGUGUGAAUUGCAGAAUUCAGUGAAUCAUCGAAUCUUUGAACGCACAUUGCGCCCUUUGGUAUUCCUUAGGGCAUGCCUGUUCGAGCGUCAUUUAAACCUUCAAGCUCAGCUUGGUGAUGGGUGACUGUCCUCCCCUCGCGGGGGGGACUCGCCUCAAAAACAUUGGCGGCCGGUACAUUGGCUUCGAGCGCAGCAGAAACGCGGUCUCGAGUCCGGUGGAUCGGCUCCCAUAAGCCUUCUUUUUUAUUUUGACCUCGGAUCAGGUAGGGAUACCCGCUGAACUUAAGCAUAUCAAUA
Molecule: ribosomal RNA, 519 nt
Filed under: Preussia minima
Lineage: Eukaryota; Fungi; Ascomycota; Dothideomycetes; Pleosporales; Sporormiaceae
Description: eukaryotic LSU rRNA
Rfam family: 5.8S ribosomal RNA (bases 159-312)
Source: RNAcentral